GAUUCAAAACCAGGAACCCACGCCGGCGGCAGCCAAUUAGCGCGCUUCCUCCGCCGGGCCUCUCGUAGCCGCUCCGGCCAAUGGCGAGCCGACGGCUCCCGACGGCAGCCAAUGGCAAGCGAUUGGAGAGGUGUGGGGGGGGGAACAAGACCCGCCCUCCGAGCUUUUCUGCGCUGCCCGAGGCUGGAGUGCGGGUCCAAAAUAUUAGACGUGUCUAUGCUCAGCCUGAAAGCUUUCUACAGGAAUGCAUAGAAUUCUGGUACUAUCAGUCAGCUCCGCAUAAGUGUCCUGC
Non-coding RNA from Pseudonaja textilis, 292 nucleotides. The record is from RefSeq and is a predicted model, not a curated record. Lineage: Eukaryota; Metazoa; Chordata; Lepidosauria; Squamata; Elapidae.